Molecule: ribosomal RNA, 253 nt
Filed under: uncultured bacterium
Lineage: Bacteria
Description: partial 16S ribosomal RNA
Rfam family: Bacterial small subunit ribosomal RNA
Source: RNAcentral
UACAGAGGGUGCGAGCGUUAAUCGGAAUUACUGGGCGUAAAGCGCGCGUAGGCGGCUUUGCAAGUCGGGUGUGAAAUCCCCAGGCUUAACCUGGGAACUGCAUUCGAGACUGCAUUGCUAGAGUAUGGGAGAGAGAAGUGGAAUUUCCGGUGUAGCGGUGAAAUGCGUAGAUAUCGGAGGGAACAUCAGUGGCGAAAGCGACUUCCUGGACCAAUACUGACGCUCAUGUGCGAAAGCGUGGGGAGCAAACAGG